CCUACGGGUGGCAGCAGUGGGGAAUAUUGGGCAAUGGGCGCAAGCCUGACCCAGCAACGCCGCGUGAAGGAAGAAGGCUUCCGGGUUGUAAACUUCUUUUAAGGGGGACGAACAAAUGACGGUACCCCUUGAAUAAGCGACGGCUAACUACGUGCCAGCAGCCGCGGUAAUACGUAGGUGGCAUGCGUUAACCGGAUUUAUUGGGUGUAAAGGGCGGGUGGGCGGGAGCGCAAGUCAGAUGUGAAAACUCAGGGCUCAACCCUGAGCCUGCAUUUGAAACUGUGUUUCUUGAGUGCUGGAGAGGCAAUCGGAAUGCCGUGUGUAGCGGUGAAAUGCGUAGAUAUACGGAGGAACACCAGUGGCGAAGGCGGAUUGCUGGACAGUAACUGACGCUGAGGCGCGAAAGCGUGGGGAGCAAACAGGAUUAGAUACCCCAGUAGUC
This 442-nucleotide ribosomal RNA is filed under the name uncultured bacterium. RNAcentral's name for it is "partial 16S ribosomal RNA". It matches the Rfam family "Bacterial small subunit ribosomal RNA", at positions 338 to 795 of the family's 1533-position model. The record is from RNAcentral.